Molecule: ribosomal RNA, 263 nt
Filed under: uncultured bacterium
Lineage: Bacteria
Description: partial 16S ribosomal RNA
Rfam family: Bacterial small subunit ribosomal RNA
Source: RNAcentral
GUCCAUGCCUUAAACGAUGCAUACUAGGUGUAGGAGGGCUCAACCCCCUCUGUACCGGAGCUAACGCAUUAAGUAUGCCGCCUGGGGAGUACGCUCGCAAGGGUGAAACUCAAAAGAAUUGACGGGGGCCCGCACAAGCAGUGGAGCAUGUGGUUUAAUUCGAUGCAACGCGAAGAACCUUACCUGGGCUCGAAAUGUAGAGGACGACAUCAGAGAUGAUGUCUCCCGAAAGGGUCUUUACAUAGGUGCUGCAUGGCUGUCGU